GGGCCCGCACAAGCGGUGGAGCAUGUGGUGUAAUUCGAAGCAACGCGCAGAACCGUACCAACCCGCGACAUCCCGAUCGCGGUUACCGGAGACGGUUUCCUUCAGGCUCGGCUGGAUCGGCGACAGGUGCUGCAUGGCCGUCGUCAGCUCGUGUCGUGAGAUGCUCGGUUAAGUCCGGCAACGAGCGCAACCCACAUCCUUAGUUGCCAGCAGUUCGGCUGGGCACUCUAGGGAAACUGCCCGUGAUAAGCGGGAGGAAGGUGUGGAUGACGUCAAGUCCUCAUGGCCCUUACGGCUUGGGCUACACACGUGCUACAAUGGUAGUGACAAUGGGUUAAUCCCAAAAAGCUAUCUCAGUUCGGAUUGGGGUCUGCAACUCGACCCCAUGAAGUCGGAAUCGCUAGUAAUCGCGUAACAGCAUGACGCGCUGAAUACGUUCCCGGGCAUUGUACACACCGCCCGUCACACCAUGGGAGUUGGGUUCACCCGAAGGCCGUGCACCAACCUUUCGAGGGG
RNAcentral lists this ribosomal RNA (516 nucleotides) under uncultured organism. RNAcentral describes it as "bacterial SSU rRNA". It matches the Rfam family "Bacterial small subunit ribosomal RNA", at positions 917 to 1448 of the family's 1533-position model. The record is from RNAcentral.